This 353-nucleotide ribosomal RNA is filed under the name Macroderes endroedyi. Its description in RNAcentral is "partial large subunit ribosomal RNA". The record is from RNAcentral. Lineage: Eukaryota; Metazoa; Arthropoda; Insecta; Coleoptera; Scarabaeidae.
UUUUGAUUAUAAUUUAAAGUCUAACCUGCCCUAUGAUUUAUUAUUAAAUGGCCGCGAUAUUUUGAUCGUGCAAAGGUAGCAUAAUAAUUAGUUUUUUAAUUGAGAACUGGUAUGAAUGGUUGAACGAGAAAAAAACUGUCUCAAUUUAAUUUAAAUUAGAAUUUUAUUUUUAAGUUAAAAAGCUUAAAUAUUUUUAAAAGACGAGAAGACCCUAUAGAGUUUUAUAUAAAUUAUUAUUUUAAAAAAUUUUAGAAUUUUAAAUUUAAUUAUAAUAAUUUAUAUUUAAUUGGGGUGAUUAAAAAAUUUAAAGAACUUUUUUUAAAUUUAAACAUAAAUUUAUGAAUAAAUGAUCC